GAUGAACGCUAGCGGCAGGCCUAACACAUGCAAGUCGAGGGGUAGAGUUCUUCGGGACUUGAGACCGGCGCACGGGUGCGUAACGCGUAUGCAAUCUACCUUAUACAGGGGAAUAGCCCAGAGAAAUUUGGAUUAAUGCCCCAUAGUGUUAUCGAAUCGCAUGGUUUGAUAACUAAAGUUCCAACGGUAUAAGAUGAGCAUGCGUCCCAUUAGUUAGUUGGUAAGGUAACGGCUUACCAAGACAAUGAUGGGUAGGGGUCCUGAGAGGGAGAUCCCCCACACUGGUACUGAGACACGGACCAGACUCCUACGGGAGGCAGCAGUGAGGAAUAUUGGUCAAUGGGCGCAAGCCUGAACCAGCCAUGCCGCGUGCAGGAAGACGGUCCUAUGGAUUGUAAACUGCUUUUANACAGGAAGAACCCUCCACGUGUGGGAGCUUGACGGUACUGUAGGAAUAAGGAUCGGCU
Molecule: ribosomal RNA, 467 nt
Filed under: uncultured bacterium
Lineage: Bacteria
Description: bacterial SSU rRNA
Rfam family: Bacterial small subunit ribosomal RNA
Source: RNAcentral